Molecule: long non-coding RNA, 1878 nt
Filed under: Hordeum vulgare
Lineage: Eukaryota; Viridiplantae; Streptophyta; Magnoliopsida; Poales; Poaceae
Description: long non-coding RNA (HVUL_LNC015261)
Source: RNAcentral
UUGAUGCUUGAUGAAGAUUUUAGACCGCACUCUUGAAAUAUACUAUCCUUCCCACUCCAAUUUUCUAUCCAAGAAACUAGCAAAGUCAACUACAACUAGGCCAACAAUCCAACUGAAUUAUCAAAUAAACUCAAAUUGGCCAAUUCAAAUAAAAUCCAAAUACAACCAAAUAUAGAUCUAAGGCUCUUAGGGCCUUCCAAGGUUAGGGUUUGGUAAAUUUUAAUAUGCAAAAUGAAUCAUGUUGUGCAAUUAUGGCCAAGCAUGGCCUAAAUAGAAAAUAAAUUUUGAACACAGGUCAAAGGUUUAGAAAACUUGGACAAAGGUUGUCCAAUGGUUGAUAUUUCAACAUUAGAUUUAAUAUGCAAAAAUAAUCAUUUAACUUGAGCUUAUAGAACUCAAAUUAUAGUGAAAACAAGUGUUGAAUUUAAAUUCAUGGUGCUCGAAGUGGAUUAGGGUGUACUCCCCCAUCAGGUUCUCCCUUAGAUUCAAUGUGCAAAAAGAAUAACUCAAAAAGAUGUUGUUGUGUCUUGUGUGCAAACUAUGGCCACAUCAAGAUAUAUAAUUCAAAUUUGAAUAGUUCAAAAGUUUGAAGCAGUGUGUCUGACGGCCCGGGCUUAAACGGAACGGCCCGCGCGAUGGGCUCUGCCCCCUAUGUAGGACAGCUUAGGAUAUCAAUUACAUCUUCUUCUCGUGCGUGUCCGCCCAGUUCCUCUGGAGCUGCCUCCGUGAGGCCAUUGGUGGGCGUUGGUGUAACAGCUACUUCCCGGCAUUAGGUGGCUGGUCAUUGGGGUCCUUGCUUGGACGCUUUGGACGGUUCAGAAUAAGCUUGUGAUUCAACGUGUGCCUCUUCGACGUGCGACUGACGUGGUAUUCAAAAUGUGUGGUUACUUGCAGCUCUGGCGACCGCUUAGCCGCCUUCAGGACCGAGACGCCAUCAACGCCAUUACUGCUGAUCUCAGGACGAUGACCUUCUGCUUGGUACCACCGCUCCCUCCACCACCUCCUGAGCCGGAUUAGACGCUUUGCUUGCGCGUGCGGGUCUACCGCUUAUUUUUUCUCUUUUCAGGACUUGCUGAGUUUGUGCCCUCAGUAGAACCCCAUUGCACUUUAUGUUGUGCUACCUCGUGUGUGUGNNNNNNNNNNNNNNNNNNNNNNNNNNNNNUGGUUGUGGUGGUUUGUUUUAUCUAUAAAACGGGACAAAAGGCUUUUUCGGUAAGCAGUGUGUCAAAAAGUUAAAGCACUCCAAGAUAAACGAUAUGCAGUAAGUUUCACCUUAACUGGAGUUGUAAAUCAGAACUUAUAAGUGUUGUAAGAUCUAGGGGCUUUUAUAAAAAAAUACAGCAGCCGGCAGAUAACAAAUACCAGGCGUGCCCUAAACGGCUGAUCGGCUUUGAAUGUGAGUCGUUGGAUAUAUUGAAAUCGUGCAGCUCAGAUCUGUCCAUACCUUCUAAUUUUGGCCUUUGAUAUGAGAUCCGGCGGUGCAGAUCCUAGGGUUUCUCGAGAGGGGAAUUUCUCGUCGGCACUGGUCGCCAGAAUCCAUGGUGCGCGGUGGCUCUUGCUUCGGCUUGCUCGGGGAGCUCCCUCCCGUGGACGCCUUGCUCCGGCGAGUUGAUGACGAUGGGUGGCGCUUCAUGGCGACUUCAUUUCAUUCCUUGGCGGCAACGUUGGAGUCCGGCUAGACUUGGGUCUUCUCCGGCGACUUCGGGCGAGCUCUAAUAGCUAGCUCGGAUCGAGGUGGACUUCCAGCGGCGACUUGACGAACCGGUCGCGCUUUAAAGGUGGCUCCGUCUUGCAGCAGGAAUAAGAGAGGCGGCGCGGAGAGCUCGACUCGCUCCUGGCAAUGGCGUCGGGGGCGGGCGGGAGUCCGGUGUCCAGGAG